RNAcentral lists this ribosomal RNA (374 nucleotides) under uncultured organism. Its description in RNAcentral is "partial 16S ribosomal RNA". It matches the Rfam family "Bacterial small subunit ribosomal RNA", at positions 527 to 896 of the family's 1533-position model. The record is from RNAcentral.
GUAGGUGGCAAGCGUUGUCCGGGAAUUAUUGGGCGUAAAGCGCGCGCAGGCGGUUCGUUUAAGUCUGAUGUGAAAGCCACGGCGUCAACCGUGGAGGGUCAUUGGAAACUGGAGAACUUGAGUACAGAAGAGGAAAGCGGAAUUCCACGUGUAGCGGUGAAAUGCGUAGAGAUGUGGAGGAACACCAGUGGCGAAGGCGGCUUUCUGGUCUGUAACUGACGCUGAGGCGCGAAAGCGUGGGGAGCAAACAGGAUUAGAUACCCUGGUAGUCCACGCCGUAAACGAUGAGUGCUAAGUGUUAGGGGGUUUCCGCCCCUUAGUGCUGCAGCUAACGCAUUAAGCACUCCGCCUGGGGAGUACGGCCGCAAAGGCUG